AUGCAGAGUAGCCGAACAAAAAUUCCUAAGAUUGGGGCUUUACAUCCACCAUAUGUGGAUGUGGAUUCUGCGCAUGCUGAUACAAGUACGCUCAACAUGCAUAAAGUACCUGCGGCUUGCCACACAGCUGGAAACACCACAAAUCGCCGCCCUAAAAUUGUUCCUGGAGUAGCAGGUUUGCAUCCUCCGAGUCGUAAGCAGCUAGGUGUGGGUGAUCAUACGCUGCCUCCACGUCCACCUUCAUCGACUUCAAAGCAACAACAAGUGCGCAACAAUACGUCAAAGAAAUUGCCGGUGCACCCGAAACAUGACCCGCUGCUGCACAAAUCAGUGGUUACGCCUCCUUGUCCGAUACAACCUGACGACUGCAUAACUCCAGAGGAGAAUCGAAAGUAUAUCCAUGUGAGUGUAAUAAAUAGAUGUUAUUGCUACAUUUUCAUAGUCAAACUACCUCUUGUUUACAAAGCAGUACAAAUGUAG
RNAcentral lists this ribosomal RNA (480 nucleotides) under Triticum aestivum (bread wheat). RNAcentral's name for it is "partial small subunit ribosomal RNA". The record is from RNAcentral. Lineage: Eukaryota; Viridiplantae; Streptophyta; Magnoliopsida; Poales; Poaceae.